This 72-nucleotide transfer RNA is filed under the name Camelus bactrianus (Bactrian camel). It matches the Rfam family "tRNA". From Rfam's summary of the family: Transfer RNA (tRNA) molecules are approximately 80 nucleotides in length. Their secondary structure includes four short double-helical elements and three loops (D, anti-codon, and T loops). RNAcentral also lists the same sequence under 2 other names. The record is from Rfam by way of RNAcentral. Lineage: Eukaryota; Metazoa; Chordata; Mammalia; Artiodactyla; Camelidae.
GGGGGUACAGCUCAGUGGUAGAGCACAUGCUUAGCAUGCAUGAAGUCCUGGGUUCAAUCCCCAGUACCUCCA